Mytilus californianus (California mussel) is the source of this 773-nucleotide long non-coding RNA. RefSeq lists it as uncharacterized. NCBI's taxonomy places the organism in Eukaryota, Metazoa, Mollusca, Bivalvia, Mytilida, Mytilidae. The record is from RefSeq and is a predicted model, not a curated record. The transcript is spliced from 2 exons.
UGUAUCUGUAAACAAAAACCACAUCGUUAGCAAAACACGACAUAAAUAAUUGUAAACCUUACAUAGGUAAGGGUCUUAUUAAUUGUAAGUAUGUCAUCUAUAGAUAUUAAUCAAACACCUUCGGUAAAUCUUUGUCUCAUGACUUAUGUGCCUAUUUAUACAGGGGAGCUAAUUAACAAGUGAUCUCAUUUUUGUAGGACUUUCUUGUUGAAGACACCAAGCAGAUAUGAAGACCUAUCUUCAAUUAUCUUUUUUGAUUGUGGCUUUAGUUUUCAUGUUUGCUUGUACAGUUAACGCUCAAGCAGAAAAUGAAGCUGAGUGUCGCUGUGACUUCUCCUGUGAUGAUAACUACGAAGAAGAAGGUUCAGAUUACAUGGCAAGAAUGCAAUGUGAUAACAUAUAUCAUAAAUGUUGCAUCCUAAUGAAGUUCUGGGUUGAUUAUCCAUCCUCCAAUACUUAUGGGAAAUAGACUCAUUGCUGCAUUUGUAUGAAGUUCUAAAAACAGUCAGAUUGAUAGAUAAUACUGAUAUCAAUCAUUGAACAUGACAUUUUGUGUUAAAGUUUAUUUUUGUUUCUCAUAUUCUGAUAUGAGCGUGUAUACGACAAAUAAUUUAUUAUACAACAACAAAAGAAGAACAAAACCGACAUGGCCAUUAAUAUUUACUGUGUAAUGACAAUCUAGGUCCAAAAUGAAUUAAAUAAAUUGCUUUUGAUAUACAUUUUAUAUAGUUUUUUUCAUUUUUAACUUAUAAAUAAACGGAUUAUAUAUCUCA